GACAAAGUAACUACAGUAAUGGCAAAAGUUUCCUAAUUUUGUCUUCAAAAGUCAAAUAGAAGGGCCCUUUCCAACAUCAAAAUGGAUACAAACUAUGGACUUUUAUUGAACAUCCUUAUUACCAUACAUAAUUAAAAACAUAAAUCACAGGUUUCAAUUGCACACAACAUAUAUAUAAUACUACUUUACCAGACAUAAAUCAGAGUUGGUCAAUGUUGUAAACUCUUUUUGGUCCAUUACUAGGAGUUGGAGGAGGUGGUGGUGGUAGUUGUGGACAGAAGCAAGCUUGUGUAGCCAAGUCACAUUUGGGUUUUUCUUCCGGCGGGAUGCAUGUCAUAAUUUCAGCACAAUCAGCAUCACUUGAGCAAGAAAACAAACCACUGCAUGAUUGCCCUACCAAGACAUAUAUAUACAUCAAUAACAAUAGUUGAAUCACACUAUUGUAUGUUGUUUGGGACAUACGAUAAGGAUAAUAGUCCCGGAAUAAAGUAUGAAAUUAACUUUAUCUUAUAUUUGGUAUGAGGUAUUAAUUAAUUCAGUGAUUAUUUUAGCAUACAGGUGCUUUUUAGCAUGUAUAUUGCAAUACUAUUUAGCAUCAACAUUAAGGGUGUGUUUGGUAAGGAGGAAAUUAUUUUUCGAAAAGUUUUUUAUUUUUUAAAGAAAAUUUCUGAUGUUUUGGUUUUUCAAAAUUUUUGAAAAACACUUUCUCUAGGAAAACAAGUUCCUUAAAGAUGAGAAAAAUGACUUCCUUAAUGGAAGUAGGAAAAAUAAAUUGUAUACGUAGCAUUCUAUGUUUAUUGAAUCAUCCCAUCUACCCAACGCCCCCAAACCCUAUUCCUUGACCAUCCCACCCCCGCGAGGCUAGACACCACACCCCCUCCUGCCUUUAUAUUUUUUUGCUAACCAAACACUAGAAAAUAAGUAAGAAAUCAACUUCUUUUUCAAGAAAAUAUUUUCUAAAAAAAAAAAUUUCUUGAAAAAUAUUUUCCUUCGUACCAAACACACCACCCACCCUAAAAUGAAAAUGUUAUCAUAGAAUAGAUAAAAAUUAGUAACAUUUUUGGCUUAUAAAAAUUGCUUACCUAACAAAACAAGCAAAAACGAGACCAGGAAAAUCUUUUGGAAUAUUGUCUUCUCCAUUUCUCUUAUAAAUUUUUUUGUGGUAGCAGUACUAUAACUAUAUGACUGUUAAUAUUG
Molecule: long non-coding RNA, 1197 nt
Filed under: Capsicum annuum
Lineage: Eukaryota; Viridiplantae; Streptophyta; Magnoliopsida; Solanales; Solanaceae
Description: long non-coding RNA (CANN_LNC005959)
Source: RNAcentral